RNAcentral lists this ribosomal RNA (370 nucleotides) under Salmonella enterica. Its description in RNAcentral is "partial 23S ribosomal RNA". It matches the Rfam family "Bacterial large subunit ribosomal RNA", at positions 1243 to 1616 of the family's 2925-position model. The record is from RNAcentral. Lineage: Bacteria; Pseudomonadati; Pseudomonadota; Gammaproteobacteria; Enterobacterales; Enterobacteriaceae. RNAcentral also lists the same sequence under 1 other name.
UAAGCCUGCGAAGGUGGCCUGUGAGGGUUGCUGGAGGUAUCAGAAGUGCGAAUGCUGACAUAAGUAACGAUAAAGCGGGUGAAAAGCCCGCUCGCCGGAAGACCAAGGGUUCCUGUCCAACGUUAAUCGGGGCAGGGUGAGUCGACCCCUAAGGCGAGGCCGAAAGGCGUAGUCGAUGGGAAACGGGUUAAUAUUCCCGUACUUGGUGUUACUGCGAAGGGGGGACGGAGAAGGCUAUGUUGGCCGGGCGACGGUUGUCCCGGUUUAAGCGUGUAGGCUGGUUUUCCAGGCAAAUCCGGAAAAUCAAGGCUGAGGCGUGACGACGAGGCACUACGGUGCUGAAGCAACAAAUGCCCUGCUUCCAGGAAAA